Molecule: transfer RNA, 69 nt
Filed under: Sphyraena barracuda (great barracuda)
Lineage: Eukaryota; Metazoa; Chordata; Actinopteri; Sphyraenidae
Also listed under: 1 other name
Description: tRNA-Met
Source: RNAcentral
AGUAAAGUAAGCCAAUUAAGCUCUUGGGCCCAUACCCCAAGCAUGUAGGUUGAAAUCCUACCUUUGCUA